This 469-nucleotide ribosomal RNA is filed under the name Streptococcus minor. RNAcentral describes it as "bacterial SSU rRNA". It matches the Rfam family "Bacterial small subunit ribosomal RNA", at positions 9 to 458 of the family's 1533-position model. The record is from RNAcentral. Lineage: Bacteria; Bacillati; Bacillota; Bacilli; Lactobacillales; Streptococcaceae.
GAGUUUGAUUAUGGCUCAGGACGAACGCUGGCGGCGUGCCUAAUACAUGCAAGUGGAACGCAUUGAUUUCACCGGAGCUUGCUCCACCGAAAUUAGUGAGUCGCGAACGGGUGAGUAACGCGUAGGUAACCUACCUCUUAGCGGGGGAUAACUAUUGGAAACGAUAGCUAAUACCGCAUAACAAUUGGAUACACAUGUACCCUAUUUAAAAGGAGCAACUGCUUCACUAAGAGAUGGACCUGCGUUGUAUUAGCUAGUUGGUAGGGUAACGGCCUACCAAGGCAUCGAUACAUAGCCGACCUGAGAGGGUGAUCGGCCACACUGGGACUGAGACACGGCCCAGACUCCUACGGGAGGCAGCAGUAGGGAAUCUUCGGCAAUGGGGGGAACCCUGACCGAGCAACCGCCGCGUGAGUGAAGAAGGUUUUCGGAUCGUAAAGCUACUGUUGUAAGAGAAGAACGUGUGAGA